GCCAUUGUUUAGGGUUAUCAUAUCUCCUCAAACAUGUGAACCGGCUACAUGACAAGAAACCACGUACAACCUCCUUUGAACACUAUAAAACUCGAGGACAAAUUUUGGAAAAUCAGAGAAGAGGAAAGGGAGAGAGAACUGGUUGCCCCAGGAACCUCUCCUCACCUCCCCUCACCUUUUCUCCACCACCACGUGCUGCCUGCCUGCAACGGGAGACUGAGACUCUGCCGGUCUGGAGAGAACUGAGACCACCGUGCCACAUGUGUGAGUUAUAUCUUAUCCUUCCAGCCUCACUAUAUUUCUGAGCACCAGGGAACUGUGGCUGAACUGGGACCCUGCACGGCCUUGGACACGGCUCAGUGUGAGCAAGGAAACCACACAUCCUGCAUUCCAGAGAACUAAAGCUGUUAAACCCCCUGCAGACCCUGGAGCUCAAGUGACUGCCCUGAAAAUUGAAGUUGCAUCUCCAUGUGGAAUCACUCCCUCCCGUAAAGGCAUAUUUGUUGUGGAUGCUUUUGGAAACAUACAACCCCAGGUAACAGCAAAGGUAACAGAAGGAGCGCCCAAAAAUCUUCCCUUACAAGAUGAGGUAACUUUACAUAGCACAGCUGAUUCUCCCCCUUCUGUGGUUCAAUUUGCACCCCCACACUCAGAGCAAUUGCAGAAUGUGUGGUUUACUGAUGCCUCAGCAAAGCAGGAAGGUAAAGUUUGGAAAUAUGCUGUAGCUUUACAGGUACAUACAGGCAACAAAAUAGUCCCCGAAGGAGAAGGCAGUGCACAGGCAGGAGAAUUAGUAGCAGUUUGGAGUGUAUUUAACCAUGAAGCUGAAACCUCUGACU
Long non-coding RNA from Myiozetetes cayanensis, 839 nucleotides. RefSeq lists it as uncharacterized. The transcript has 3 exons. The record is from RefSeq and is a predicted model, not a curated record. NCBI's taxonomy places the organism in Eukaryota, Metazoa, Chordata, Aves, Passeriformes, Tyrannidae.